AUUGUUGGUUUUGUUUAUUGUAUGUUUUCCUCUUUUGCCAGUAUACACCUGACGUGUCUGCGUGCCCCCAUUGUUUUAGCCAGAUUUCUUUUAAAACACUUUUAAAAGAUGGCUUUUGAGAGAGAGAGGCUGAGAGAGAGAAAUAGGUUUCGGUAUACAUGAGAGAGAGAGGCGGUGGCGGACAUACGACGGCGGCCUUCUUCCUCAACCCGCUAGGGUUCAGGCACGCCAUUCAUUGUCACCGCCACAGGCAAGUGUACAUCUGACGCCUGAAACAACCACCGCCAAAAAAGGUCUUCGACAACGGCUUCCUAAAGCCCUUAAUCGCAACUCAUGCUUCAACAUCAACGUCACAGGUUAUCCAAAAAAAUGUAGGGUUAGCAUUAAAGAACGAACACCUCCUCUCCAAUUAUUGUUUUCCGAUAAACUGCCGGCCAAACUCUGGUUCCGAGGCUAUAGAAGUUCUGGCCGACAAAGGUCAAACACAUCGUCGGAAACGCUGAUGUAGUCUCGAGACUCGAAGUAAUCGCAGCAGGCGAUGGUAACAUGCCCAAUCUCAUGUUCACUGAUUUGUGUAUGAGAUAGUCCGGUUCCUGGGCACGAGAACCCCACUAUUCUGGCUUCUCAAACAACCUUUUGUAUCUCGGUUAGUGUCACCGAAGUUGAAGCUCUAUUUGGGUUGUUCAAGAUAAUAAGCAGUUAUGUAAUCGAUGAUGGAUUAAAUAAUAAGACAAUGGCAAGAGAACAACUACAAUCAGAAACUGUCAACGCUUUAUCAAGAACUGGGUCAAGGUAAGAAAAGCAACAAAGUCAACCACAAAGGCGACUACGUCUAACCUUAGCUUUUACCAGCAAUGCAAACACUGCGAAAAGGAAGAUGACCCGCCCAAGGGAACAAAAAAUCUUGUCUACUCGGACUUUCUAAGUGAAAUCGAGGUGAAACACUCGAAAUCAAGUAUAUUUAUGAAAUACAAGCUCAUAAUGUAGAGCCACUCGAAAUUAGAGUAACAAGAAAGUGAAACCUGUACAAAGUAGAAUUAUGAUUUUGUUUGUAGACAAGCAUGUUUGAAAAUACGGCUGCACGCCAACAUGGAUAUUCAAGAAGGCUACACCGAUCCUUAAUCAUACCACCUCCCCAUCGACAACCGAACUAUUGAAGAGCACACCAUUUCCAGCAUUACUCAACCCCUCCAACCAAAAGGUAAACACACGAACUCACUGGUACACACGUGGAAUGAAAUCUAGAUACCAUGAGACUCUGGAUUUGUAUAACAUGCAAUCUUAAUCGUUACGUUGCUUUUAAAAUAAAAGGUGUUCCAAUUUUGUAUUACAGUUUUUCGUUUUCUUUCUAAAAAUUACCCAGCUGCGCUGAUCGUAACUAUUAGGUAGACAGAACCUGACUUCUUUUUUUUUUUUGAUAAACAGUGAAAACAAUCAACACACCUAAUGUUUGGUCAACUUUAACGCAUACCUUAUUUUACAUUAUUGAACCAUGGCUGCUGCAACUCAUAUGUUGGUAUUUAUUUUUACUAAAAAUUACACAGCUAACACUCUGUUGCGAUUUGUAAUACCUUAUAUUUUUUUUUUGCCAAUAUGGUAUAGCCCAGUUGGUCAGGGGGUUUUCUACUAAGUGAUUUCCUUCUAGGAGGUCUCAGCUAGAAUUCAAAAUUCAUUUGAUUUGCCGUUCAAAAAAAUAUAUUUCUUUUUAGUUUUUCUUAAUCAACCUGAAUUUAAGUUUAAUAUUUUUAUAUUAUAAUUAUGUUAUUUUAUAAACUACGUUAUUGUUGAUGUAGAUUGGCGACAAGAGAGUUAAGAAAACGGUUAAUCGAAAACAAAGCAGGACAAACGAAUGAUAAGAAGAACCAGUCAUGGUAAAAUCUUAUGGAAGUUUGAUGUUACAUGUAAUAAAAGAAAAUUGACUUCAUCUACAGGAUCAACGGGUUGUACUUAGGUUUACUAUUCUUUUUAUAUGUUUAUUAGAUGAGGCCACUUAACUCAACUCUAAAUUUGUGUUUAUAUUUCAUAUUAUAGCUAUU
Molecule: long non-coding RNA, 2036 nt
Filed under: Helianthus annuus (common sunflower)
Lineage: Eukaryota; Viridiplantae; Streptophyta; Magnoliopsida; Asterales; Asteraceae
Description: hypothetical non coding rna
Source: RNAcentral